Sebastes umbrosus (honeycomb rockfish) is the source of this 1535-nucleotide long non-coding RNA. RefSeq lists it as uncharacterized. Lineage: Eukaryota; Metazoa; Chordata; Actinopteri; Perciformes; Sebastidae. The record is from RefSeq and is a predicted model, not a curated record. The transcript is spliced from 2 exons.
UGUACAGCUGAGAUGUGACAGCACUCACUCAUAUUGGAUGACCUUAAACACCAGGUGGUCCAGCAGAGUGAGCUGUUCGGCGAUCUCCAACGCGGAGUGGCUCUCGAAGGGAUCGACCUUCCCUUCUCCCAUCUAGGAGAAACAAAACAACCCAAACAUCAUUAAAACUGGACCAGGCAACUCAGCACAAAGUGACAGGCGUGCUGAGGGAGACCAGACUCUAAUCUUUGGCCUGCAGAUGUUCAACAGGCGCCUAUCAACCUGCGACUGAUCAUUAUUCAUGGUUGACUGCUCUUCCAUCUUCACAUUCAUUAGGUAUUCAUCCUACCGUCAAAGAAAAAUCUAUUUCUGGCAGAGAGGCAUGCAUGUUGUUGUAGUUUUCCCUCAUGAUCUCUGUGAGAGCGCGGUGAGUGUCUGGUGUGAGGCGAUGUUAAGCACACUGUCUGCUUCCUGCUUUAUGUUUACGGCUGAGUCAUGCACCUUUUAAAAAUCAUUACUGAUCUUAACAGAGAUAUAUGAGAUUGAUACGGCAUUGAUCAUAUGCUGUAGAUCCUUGGGUAGUAUUUGCUCUUAAAUCUAUGAUCUUUUUGUUAUGGGGGCAACACGCACUUGUCAGUCUUGCUGUGCUGUGGAUAAAUAAUUAACUAGACAUAAUUCUUUUGUCUUGUAUAAUUGAUUCUGAUUGACACACAGCUCAGUUUUAUUGCAGCAAUAGUGUAAAAGGAUUUUCCUGAAUCACAUAAUGAGAUCUAUACAGUAGUUUAUGCCCUGGAGAUCUAUACGUGUUGCAUCCACUUUCAUUUUAAUGAGGGGCUUUAGUUUGGAUGUCAGCCUUCUCCACACCAACACAAUCAUACUUAGUCAGAUCUUUUGAUUUACAGUGCACCAAAUCAACCACCUCUUGCUCCCGUAGCUUCUUGCAUUAUUUGUCGAAGUGCUUCUGUUCCCCCAGUGUGAGCGAGCUGUGUUUUCUAUAAAUGGACGCUGACCCCUCCGAAGUACUGCAAGGAACAAAUUUAGCCCAGAUAGCGCUCACAUUAAUAGGAGAGAUGCGACACACACUACUUCUCUCCUCUCUCUCUCUCUCCGUUACCCCGCCUCUUCCAACUGCAUCAUUCUUUAGGAUGCAAAUAAGGGUUGCCAUAGAAACCUCGGGCUCAAACGCAUUAUCAUUUUCACACUAACUGCAUUUGAGGAUAAAUAUAAUGUAGGGAUUAUGGUGGAUUGCUAAAACGUUUGCACAGAAUCCAGGUGGGGACGGGAGAUAGAGAGGUGAUAUCUUCUUUACUCUUAUUUAUCCUUGUAAAAGGAUGUUUGUUUGUUUACAAUGAGAGGCAACUCUUCAAUCACAUUCAUUGUUUGUGCUCCUCUCGGCUGCUUUCACUCUCUGCAAACAGGAUUCACAGAACACAAAGCGUCUCUCGAGUUGAUCAUAAAUCCAGUCCAUCUAUUGAUCAGGCUUUUCUCAGUGUGUUCACAUUCACAUUUAUGAGGAAACCGCACUGCUGAUGAAAAUAAAAAACAACCCCAAAUCC